RNAcentral lists this ribosomal RNA (253 nucleotides) under uncultured bacterium. Its description in RNAcentral is "partial 16S ribosomal RNA". It matches the Rfam family "Bacterial small subunit ribosomal RNA", at positions 524 to 776 of the family's 1533-position model. The record is from RNAcentral.
UACGGAGGAUGCAAGUGUUAUCCGGAAUCACUGGGCGUAAAGCGUCUGUAGGUGGUUUGCUAAGUCCGCUGUUAAAGCUUGAAGCUCAACUUCGAAAAUGCAGUGGAAACUAGUAGACUUGAGUGUGGUAGGGGUAGAGGGAAUUUCCAGUGAAGUGGUGAAAUGCGUAGAUAUUGGAAAGACCACCAAUGGCGAAGGCACUCUACUGGGCCACAACUGACACUGAGAGACGAAAGCUAGGGGAGCAAAAGGG